GUUUAAGUUCUACCACUGUAAAGAUGGAAGAUCCGCGAUUCGGAAUGUCAGAACUGUGUGGUUUAACAGACAGCCAGGCAGCAGAUGCGCUCGAAGCUUUUGUAUAAUCAUCCUGCGGUGAGGGUGAAUCCACCACAUCAUGUACACUAGAAGGUGCCUGGUUAGCAGAGCCCAUGGACAGAACAAGUGACACCUGAGGUGUCCCAUACAACACGCCAGAUUCUCCACUACCACUGUACCCUGAGACAGCAGUCUGAAGGUGACCCAUUGCAGCCAGAAGCGCCUCAAGCUGUUCGCGGACCACAGCCAACUUCUCGUGCAUCCACAUACAGGAUUCACACACCCUAAUCAUCCUAGUAAGACUAACUGAGAAGCAAACUAUACAGCAGAUAGAAUCCCAGAUAUACAACUUGUUACCCUCCUGAUGUGUCACAAAUGGGUAUUGAUGCAUUAAUUAGCUAGCUGUUCAGCGAGCAAUUCUGUGCUACAGGCUAAAGGAUUUUUUUUCCUACAAAAAUGUGAAAUUAAACCUUUUAAAUAGAGCAGCAUAUGCUAAAUUUAGUAAAUGUACUACAAGGAAAAGAAGGAAAUUUAUGAAGACUUAACUUAUUGCUCUUUAAGAUGACUGGUAUGUUGUAUUUAUAAUAAAUGAAAAAGGAAAUGACAUGACAA
Molecule: long non-coding RNA, 672 nt
Organism: Schistocerca gregaria
Lineage: Eukaryota; Metazoa; Arthropoda; Insecta; Orthoptera; Acrididae
Exons: 2
Source: RefSeq, a predicted model, not a curated record